RNAcentral lists this long non-coding RNA (1501 nucleotides) under Cyanistes caeruleus (blue tit). Its description in RNAcentral is "lncRNA (ENSCCEG00000015656.1)". Lineage: Eukaryota; Metazoa; Chordata; Aves; Passeriformes; Paridae. The record is from RNAcentral.
GGGGCCCCAUGGCCAGUGGAGUUUUUUAUUGGGAAGGCAGUGCCAGGGCUGUGCUCUCCCUGUGCUCUGAGCCAGGCAUUUGCUCUCUGUGUAGCUCUGCACUUAUUUCCAUGGUGGAUGAGCAUGAAGAGGUGGGAAAAGAACUUUUAAGGACAGCUGCUGUGGUGGUGAUGGGGAGUGGGAGGAUUUCCUGCUUUCCUUUAUGCAGAUUAUAUGUAGUGGGCAGUGGAGCACCUUCCUGCAGUGCUCAGUGCCUGAGGUGUGUGAGGAGCUCCUGCCUGUUUCCUCCUGGGGUUCAUCCUGAGCUGUCACCAACAGUUCUGGCUUUUGUGGGAGCAGUUACCUGGUGGAGAAGGUUGCAAGGCAGGACUCUGAAGUGCUUCCCUGCUGAGGACCAGAGCAUUUCCACACCACGUGGGGCUGGGAAGGCUAGCAGGGGAAUACUGGAAGAUCAGUGUUCCCCUGACCCAGACAGGCUGCUUUUGCAUACACCUCCACCUCUUCACAUAACAGGAGCAACUGGCUCAGCAGGAAGAGACAGAGACUGUUCCUGGCUGGAACAGAGGAGGGGAUCCUGUCGCACCCGCCAAAGUCAGGCAGGGGGCACUGAUAGACUGUGUGAGAGGAGCUAAAUCACCCGAGCAGCCCCACUGGUGCACAGAACAUUCACUGAUAUUCCCUGGUUUAUGCCAUUCUUAGCUCAGUUCUGAAGAGAUCCCAGCCUGGAAAUUAAUUGUAUGGUGGAGAGGAAAAACAGUGGCAUUACUCAUCUGAGGAGUGGAACCUUUUGUUUGAAAACUCCAUCUGAAGAAUGGAAACGUCACAGAUAAGGAACCUGUCAUUCUUUUUUGAGUGCAAGCACUCCUUCACUGUAUAUUGCUGCUUGUCAUCCCACCGACAGCUCCAGGGAAGUCAUAAAACAGAGGGUCAAAGCUCAGAUGUCUGUGAGAUGGGUCUGGCAGUGUCUGUUCACUAUUGCUAUCCACACCUCAGGGUGGAAUUACAGCCCUAAUUCAUAUACAUGGGGUGAGAGGCCAGGGCUCUGCAUUUAACUCUGCCCCUAUUGGGGUCACCCCUGCUCUGCUGAGUGCUGAUAAACGCAGUGCGAGAAGGAUUCACACAGGGUCUCAGGUGGGGACAGAGCACAGGGGAAGAACCUUUCUGGGAGCCAGGGCUGUGCCACAUGCCAGGUCCUGUCCUUGCCCUCUGCUCACUGCUGGACACACACUGUAGUGUUGGAUGGUGUCCAGAGAAUAGAAAAAAGCUGGGAAAGGGGCUGGAGCACCAGGAGCAGCUGAGGGAGCUGGGAAAGGGGCUCAGCCUGGAGAAAAGGAGGCUCAAGGGGCAGCCUUCUGGCUCUGCACAACUCCCUGACAGGAGGGGACAGCCAGGUGGGGGAACAAGGGACAAAACCAGAAGAAAUGGCUUCAGGCUGUGCCAGGGGAGGUUUAGAUUGGAUACUGUGGAAAUUUAUUAAUAAAAAGGAUUGUCAGGCAUUGCA